This 253-nucleotide ribosomal RNA is filed under the name uncultured bacterium. RNAcentral's name for it is "partial 16S ribosomal RNA". It matches the Rfam family "Bacterial small subunit ribosomal RNA", at positions 524 to 776 of the family's 1533-position model. The record is from RNAcentral.
UACGUAGGGGGCAAGCGUUGUCCGGAAUAAUUGGGCGUAAAGAGCGCGUAGGCGGCCCUGUAAGUCCGCUGUGAAAGUCAAGGGCUCAACCCUUGGAUGCCGGUGGAUACUGCAGGGCUAGAGUCCGGAAGAGGAGUGUGGAAUUCCUGGUGUAGCGGUGAAAUGCGCAGAUAUCAGGAGGAACACCAAUGGCGAAGGCAGCACUCUGGGACGUGACUGACGCUGAGACGCGAAAGCGUGGGGAGCAAACAGG